GUCGAACGGUAACAGGUCUUUCGGGAUGCUGACGAGUGGCGGACGGGUGAGGAAUACAUCGGAGUCUGCUCAGUCGUGGGGGAUAACGCAUGGAAACGUGCGCUAAUACCGCAUACGACCUUCGGGUGAAAGCAGGGGAAUCUCUCGGGAUCCUUGCGCGAUUGAAUGAGCCGAUGUCGGAUUAGCUAGUUGGUAGGGUAAAAGCCUACCAAGGCCACGAUCCGUAGCUGGUCUGAGAGGAUGAUCAGCCACACUGGGACUGAGACACGGCCCAGACUCCUGCGGGAGGCAGCAGUGGGGAAUAUUGGACAAUGGGGGCAACCCUGAUCCAGCCAUACCGCGUGGGUGAAGAAGGCCUUCUGGGUUGUAAAGCCCUUUUGUUGGGGAAGAAAAACAACGGGUUAAUACCCCGUUGGUAUGACGGUACCCAAAGAAUAAGCACCGGCUAACUUCGUGCCAGCAGCCGCGGUAAUACGAAGGGUGCAAGCGUUACUCGGAAUUACUGGGCGUAAAGGGUGCGUAGGUGGUUGCGCCAGUCUGUCGUGAAAGCCCUGGGCUUAACCUGGGAAUGGCGAUGGAAACUGUGCAACUAGAGUGCGACAGAGGGUGGUGGAAUUCCUGGUGUAGCAGUGAAAUGCGUAGAGAUCAGGAGGAACAUUCGUGGCGAAGGCGGCCACCUGGGUCAACACUGACACUGAGGCACGAAAGCGUGGGGAGCAAACAGGAUUAGAUACCCUGGUAGUCCACGCCCUAAACGAUGCGAACUGGAUGUUGGGUCCA
Molecule: ribosomal RNA, 780 nt
Filed under: uncultured Lysobacterales bacterium
Lineage: Bacteria; Pseudomonadati; Pseudomonadota; Gammaproteobacteria; Lysobacterales
Description: bacterial SSU rRNA
Rfam family: Bacterial small subunit ribosomal RNA
Source: RNAcentral